Long non-coding RNA from Homo sapiens (human), 1886 nucleotides. The record is from Ensembl. NCBI's taxonomy places the organism in Eukaryota, Metazoa, Chordata, Mammalia, Primates, Hominidae.
GCUUUCCGCGUCGCACAGCGCACCCGCCCGGCUUGGAGAAUCACAGUGGUAACGCCUACUGCACGGGGAGGAACUGAGCAUGGUUUCAGUAGCUUAGCUGAUGCGUCUCCAGAAAACUCGAUGUGGCUCAGCAGCGAGCCCUCCAAACAAACAACAGACAGAACUGCCAGCAUUCUCUGUAAUGCCAAGACCUGCUGGGCAGCAUGUGUGGCCUUGGAGAGGGGAAAGAAUGCGGCUACCUGGGGCUGCAUCUUCUUUAUUUUCUAACUACUUUUCUCUGCCUUAUGUCAUUUACUUGUCAAUAUCAGAUCUCAAUGUAGAAUGCCUGAUAUUCUCAGUGUUUGAUUCUCAGCAAGUGCAUACUUCAUACCAGUCAAACGGCUUACAUAGAAAUGGAAUGUUUCAUGAUUGCUUGGAAGUCUCUAAACACCCCUUUCUUGGUCUAACUCUGACGCUGUGGCUGUGUGAUCUGUCUUCCUCUGGCUUCUACAUGAGUGGACAUGAACCCCUUUGGAACCUGUCACCCCUCUGAGAAUAGAAUGAGAGCUGUGGACUGUCCUGCCACAAUUCCACAGACUGGGUAAUACAUAAGGAAUAGAAGUUUUUUUGGCUCAUGUUUCUGGAGGCUGGGAAGUCCAAGAGCAUGGUGCCAGCAUCUGGUGAGGGCCUUCCCCUGGUGGAAGUGGGUGCAAGAGACAGAGAGAGGCUGGGUGCGGUUGCUCACGCCUCUAAUCCCAGCACUUUGGGAGGUCGAGGCAGGCAGAUCACCUGAGGUCAGGAGUUCAAGACAAGUCUGGCCAACAUGGCAAAACCCUGUCUCUACUAAAAAUACAAAAAUUACCCAGGCGUGUUGACACAUGCCUGUAGUCCUAGCUACUCAGGAGGCUGAGGCAGAAGAAUCGCUUGAACCUGGGAGGCAGAGGUUGCAGUGAGCUGAGAUUGCACUACUGCACUACUCCAGCCUGGGCAACAAUUGCAAAACUCCGUCUCAAAAAAAAAAUAAAGAGAGAGAGAGAGGAAUGGGAAUGAACUUAUCAGGAGCCACCUCCCUCGACAACGAAUCCACUCCCGACACAAAAGCAUAUUCCAUCCACAGGGGCAAAGCCUCAGGCCUAAUCUCAGAAAGGCCCCAACACGGUUACAAGAGCAACUCAGCUUCCAGCACGUGAACUCCGGGGCACUAGCAGACUCCGCGCUCAGAACAUUGGCACUUCUCAUUUGAACUCUAUCUUCACACACCCUGCGUGAACUGGGAAGCGCCCUCAGCAAAUAGACUCAUGUGGCUACACUAAGCUUGUUCACUUUGCCUCCCGCCUUGCAAGGGUUUUGCCCUUCCAGUUUCUGUCAGCUUCUGGGUGAUCUCUAGUGCCUUCAAACUGUUGUUUUAAUAUCUAAUACAGAAGCUAUCAUCGUUAUUAGCAGGAGAGUUCCUCCAGUACAGGCAACUCUGCCGUGGCCGAAAACAGAUUAUGCAAAACAAUUUCACCCUGUGGAUGUACAUGCAGAUUAUGGACUGAUACAUAAUCAAAAUCAGAAAUCUUUACAAAUUGAGGAAAAUGUUUUUUCCUACUAUUGUUAUAAAAUAGUUUGGGCCACUUCUACUUCCUAGUAUCCCUGGAUUACGUAACAGUAACAGCUGCGAUUCAGUUCCACAUUCUACAUGUAAGGAGCGAGGGGUGGGAGCCCAGCCUUCCUGCCUUGCAUCUCCCCUGUCCUUGUGCUUCAUCUCAGCAGCAUUACGUCAUACUUGCUAAUAAUUCACCUAAGAGUGACAAAAAUAAUUUUUAUAAGCAUGUCACAAAAAGGAAGGAAAAGUUUCUUUUCCCUGCUUUGAUAUUAGAACCAAAUGGAGCUCUGGAAGUUUUCAAUAAAAUGAAAAAUGAUUU